CCUACGGGAGGCAGCAGUGAGGAAUAUUGGUCAAUGGACGGAAGUCUGAACCAGCCAUGCCGCGUGCAGGAAGACGGUUCUAUGAGUUGUAAACUGCUUUUGUACAAGGGUAAACCUGAAUACGUGUAUUCAGCUGAAAGUACUGUACGAAUAAGGAUCGGCUAACUCCGUGCCAGCAGCCGCGGUAAUACGGAGGAUCCAAGCGUUAUCCGGAUUUAUUGGGUUUAAAGGGUGCGUAGGCGGGUUGAUAAGUUAGAGGUGAAAUGUCCGAGCUUAACUCGGGCACUGCCUCUAAUACUGUUGAUCUAGAGAGGGGAAGCAGUAGGCGGAAUGUAUGGUGUAGCGGUGAAAUGCUUAGAGAUCAUACAGAACACCGAUUGCGAAGGCAGCUUACCAAUCUAUAUCUGACGUUGAGGCACGAAAGCGUGGGGAGCGAACAGGAUUAGAUACCCCAGUAGUC
This 460-nucleotide ribosomal RNA is filed under the name uncultured bacterium. RNAcentral's name for it is "partial 16S ribosomal RNA". It matches the Rfam family "Bacterial small subunit ribosomal RNA", at positions 338 to 795 of the family's 1533-position model. The record is from RNAcentral.